GGAUUCCGAAAUGAUAAAAUCAUUUUUGAUUGGAUAAAAAAAAGUCGCCUAUAGAAGAUAGCUAAGAAAAUUGAAGAGGAGAAAACACGUUUUCGAGAUAGGAAUCGGUAUCUAAUGAAUUCAAUGGUUCCAGUAUAAAUGAAAGAAAAAGAAAAAGGAAUGACAUCACAACGAGAUCCUAAUCUCAAAACAAAAAGAAAGGGGGAUAUGGCGAAAUCGGUAGACGCUACGGACUUAAUUGGAUUGAGCCUUGGUAUGGAAACUUACUAAGUGAUCACUUUCAAAUUCAGAGAAACCCUGGAAUGAACAAAAAUGGGCAAUCCUGAGCCAAAUCCUAUUUUCUGAAAACAAACAAAUAAAGGUUCUGAAAAAAAAGGAUAGGUGCAGAGACUCAAUGGAAGCUAUUCUAACAAAUGGAGUUAAAUGUGUUGGUAGAGGAAUCUUUACAUAAAAACUUCAGAAAGAAAAAUAAUAAAGUGAAGGAUAAACGUAUAUACAUACGUAUUGAAUACUAUAUAAAAUGAUUAAUGAAAACCCAAAUCCCUGAUCAAAUCAUUCACUCCAUAGUCUGAUAGAUCCUUUGAAGAACUGAUUAAUCGGACGAGACUAAAGAUAGAGUCCCGUUCUACAUGUCAAUACCGGCAACAAUGAAAUUUAUAGUAAGAGGAAAAUCCGUCGACUUUUAAAAUCGUGAGGGUUCAAGUCCCUCUAUCCCCAAAAAGACUAUUUCAACCCCCAACUAUUUCUCCGACCCCCUUUCCUUAGCAGUUCCAAAUUACUUAUCUUUCUCAUUCACUCUAUUCUUUUAGAAAUGGAUUUUUCUUUUAGAAAUGGAUUUUAGCGUAAAUGGCUUUCUCUUAAGCCUUGUGAUAUAUAUGAUACACAUAGAACUGAACAUCUUUGAGCAAGGAAUCCCUAGUUGAAUGAUUACCAAUAUCAUUACUCAAUACUGAAACUUACAAAGUCAUCUUUUUGAAGAUCGAAGAAAUUCCCCAGCUUUGAUAAAAUUUUUUGAUUGACUUUUGUCCUUUUAAUUGACAAAGACCUAUUGAAAAAGACCCAUUUAUGUGUUAAGAUCAAAUUUGUUAAGAUAAAAUUAGAGUAAGAAGUAGAGAACUGAGUAACAAGCAGAGAACUAAAAAUCCUCAUGUUAACGAACGGUUCCUAUUGGGAAGACGACUCUAAAUCCUUCUGUUAAUGGGAACUUAAAAUUCUCAUGUUUGAGGUUCCAAUUGGGUUUGGUAUAGCCCUAAAAAUCCUCGAGUUACCAGUCCCAACCUUGAUAAAAAAU
RNAcentral lists this long non-coding RNA (1291 nucleotides) under Capsicum annuum. RNAcentral's name for it is "long non-coding RNA (CANN_LNC020325)". The stretch from base 227 to 642 matches the Rfam family "Group I catalytic intron". The record is from RNAcentral. Lineage: Eukaryota; Viridiplantae; Streptophyta; Magnoliopsida; Solanales; Solanaceae.